RNAcentral lists this long non-coding RNA (442 nucleotides) under Homo sapiens (human). RNAcentral's name for it is "HSALNT0150929". The record is from RNAcentral. Lineage: Eukaryota; Metazoa; Chordata; Mammalia; Primates; Hominidae.
UUCUAGAUGUGAGAAUCUUGAGUGAUGUGAGUCACGUUUUAGUUGGAUUUUCAUACGUUUUCAGAUAGAUUUUAGUUAGAUUUUCACAAAAAGCAUUACUAUCUUAAUUGUUUGUGAAGUUCACUUAGGCAAAAAUUAUGUAUUUCAAGGCAACACAAGAUAAAACUUGGUGCUUUUUGAGCCCUCCUCUUGGUGCUGGUAGGUUAUUUAGGGCCUUGGAAAGGAAGAAAUCUCAUAUUCUGUGUCUAAAUUAUGUUAAAACUGUGCAGACAUCCAGUUUCCAAGGUCCCUGAGAGAAAAUGCAUGCAACAAUGAAUUAAGGAGAAAAGAAUUAAAGAGUGUAGCAGACAUCUCACCUCCUGUUGCCCGUAUUAGCCCUUCAUGGACAGUGAGAUUAAAAACACAGGUUGCUCUCCAGUGAAACUUUAAUUGCAGAGCUUUA